AGAAUUUAGCAGAGAUGCUUUAGUGCCUUCGGGAACUCUGAGACAGGUGCUGCAUGGCUGUCGUCAGCUCGUGUUGUGAAAUGUUGGGUUAAGUCCCGCAACGAGCGCAAUCCUUAUCCUUUGUUGCCAGCACGUAAUGGUGGGAACUCAAAGGAGACUGCCGGUGAUAAACCGGAGGAAGGUGGGGAUGACGUCAAGUCAUCAUGGCCCUUACGAGUAGGGCUACACACGUGCUACAAUGGCGCAUACAAAGAGAAGCGACCUCGCGAGAGCAAGCGGACCUCAUAAAGUGCGUCGUAGUCCGGAUUGGAGUCUGCAACUCGACUCCAUGAAGUCGGAAUCGCUAGUAAUCGUAAAUCAGAAUGUUACGGUGAAUACGUUCCCGGGCCUUGUACACACCGCCCGUCACACCAUGGGAGUGGGUUGCAAAAGAAGUAGAUAGCUUAACCUUCGGGAGGGCGUUUACCACUUUGUGAUUCAUGACUGGGGUGAAGUCGUAACAAGGUAAGCGUAGUGCU
This 518-nucleotide ribosomal RNA is filed under the name uncultured bacterium. RNAcentral describes it as "bacterial SSU rRNA". It matches the Rfam family "Bacterial small subunit ribosomal RNA", at positions 992 to 1509 of the family's 1533-position model. The record is from RNAcentral.